UAACGCGUUAAGUAGACCGCCUGGGGAGUACGGUCGCAAGAUUAAAACUCAAAUGAAUUGACGGGGGCCCGCACAAGCGGUGGAGCAUGUGGUUUAAUUCGAUGCAACGCGAAGAACCUUACCUACUCUUGACAUCCAGAGAACUUUCCAGAGAUGGAUUGGUGCCUUCGGGAACUCUGAGACAGGUGCUGCAUGGCUGUCGUCAGCUCGUGUUGUGAAAUGUUGGGUUAAGUCCCGCAACGAGCGCAACCCUUAUCCUUGUUUGCCAGCGAGUAAUGUCGGGAACUCCAGGGAGACUGCCGGUGAUAAACCGGAGGAAGGUGGGGACGACGUCAAGUCAUCAUGGCCCUUACGAGUAGGGCUACACACGUGCUACAAUGGCGCAUACAGAGGGCGGCCAACUUGCGAAAGUGAGCGAAUCCCAAAAAGUGCGUCGUAGUCCGGAUUGGAGUCUGCAACUCGACUCCAUGAAGUCGGAAUCGCUAGUAA
RNAcentral lists this ribosomal RNA (489 nucleotides) under Vibrio alginolyticus. RNAcentral's name for it is "bacterial SSU rRNA". It matches the Rfam family "Bacterial small subunit ribosomal RNA", at positions 853 to 1341 of the family's 1533-position model. The record is from RNAcentral. Lineage: Bacteria; Pseudomonadati; Pseudomonadota; Gammaproteobacteria; Vibrionales; Vibrionaceae.